RNAcentral lists this non-coding RNA (29 nucleotides) under Homo sapiens (human). Lineage: Eukaryota; Metazoa; Chordata; Mammalia; Primates; Hominidae. The record is from RNAcentral.
UCACCCAUGUAGUGUGUGCAUUCAGCAGU